This 891-nucleotide ribosomal RNA is filed under the name uncultured bacterium. RNAcentral's name for it is "bacterial SSU rRNA". It matches the Rfam family "Bacterial small subunit ribosomal RNA", at positions 28 to 901 of the family's 1533-position model. The record is from RNAcentral.
GAUGAAACGCUGGCGGCAUGCCUUACACAUGCAAGUCGAACGGCAGCGCGGGAGCAAUCUGGGCGGCGAGUGGCGAACGGGUGAGUAAUAUAUCGGAACGUGCCCUGUAGCGGGGGAUAGCCGGCCCAACGGCCGGGUAAUACCGCAUCCGCUCGUUUGGGGACAUCCCCGGGCGAGGAAAGCAGCCGCAAGGUUGCGCCGAUGGAGAGCCUCGCGACCUAUCAGCUAGUUGGCGGGGUAACGGCCCACCGAGGCUACGACGGGUAGCUGGUCUGAGAGGAUGGCCAGCCACAUUGGGACUGAGACACGGCCCAGACUCCUACGGGAGGCAGCAGUGGGGAAUAUUGCGCAAUGGCCGAAAGGCUGACGCAGCGACGCCGCGUGUGGGAUGACGGCCCUCGGGUUGUAAACCACUGUCGGGGGGGACGAAUACAGGGCCUCGAAUAGGGGACCCUGGGUGACGGUACCUCCAAAGGAAGCACCGGCUAACUCCGUGCCAGCAGCCGCGGUAAUACGGAGGGUGCGAGCGUUGUCCGGAAUCACUGGGCGUAAAGGGCGCGUAGGCGGUUCGUUAAGUUGCUGGCGAAAUCCCGGGGCUCAACUCCGGGGCUGCCAGUAAGACUGGCGAGCUAGAGCACGGUAGAGGCGGAUGGAAUUCCCGGUGUAGCGGUGGAAUGCGUAGAUAUCGGGAAGAAUACCGGUGGCGAAGGCGUUCCGCUGGGCCGUUGCUGACGCUGAGGCGCGACAGCGUGGGGAGCAAACAGGAUUAGAUACCCUGGUAGUCCACGCCGUAAACGAUGGACACUAGGCGUCGGGGGGAGCGACCCCCUCGGUGCCGUCGCUAACGCAGUAAGUGUCCCGCCCUGGGAGUACGGCCCGCAGGCUGAAACU